UACGUAGGGGGCAAGCGUUGUCCGGAAUCAUUGGGCGUAAAGCGCGUGUAGGCGGCUCGGUAAGUCUGCUGUGAAAGUCCAGGGCUCAACCCUGGGAUGCCGGUGGAUACUGUCGAGCUCGAGUCCGGAAGAGGCGAGUGGAAUUCCUGGUGUAGCGGUGAAAUGCGCAGAUAUCAAGGAGGAACACCAAUGGCGAAGGCAGCUCGCUGGGACGUGACUGACGCUGAGACACGAAAGCGUGGGUAGCAAACAGG
RNAcentral lists this ribosomal RNA (254 nucleotides) under uncultured bacterium. Its description in RNAcentral is "partial 16S ribosomal RNA". It matches the Rfam family "Bacterial small subunit ribosomal RNA", at positions 524 to 776 of the family's 1533-position model. The record is from RNAcentral.